CUCAUCUUCAAUUACAAUGUGGUUCCUACAAAGUAAAGGGCUGUUGUCCUCUCUUCAGACCUGUGCUGCUUCUGCGCACUAGCCCUGUAGACCAUCAAGGCCUAAAAAUAGCUGCUAGAUUCAAUGAGACAUGAAGCUGACAGAAAUGGCAUCAAGCUAAUUGGCAACAAACUCUAUGAAACCUACUCAGGAAAUCAUAUUUUUAAGCUGAACACCAAGUGGAUUCUUGUUUGAAUAGUCCAUUUCUAAGAAGAUGUGGUUCGAACAUACAGAGCUACAUAAUAUGAGUAAAAUAGGACCUAACAGUAGUGUUCUCCAGCAUUGCUCUGCCUUUCCUUUUCUGGAUGUAACAACAUUACUAAGAAAGGAAGAAAAAGCAAAAAUCUGCUCUCGGGGAGAUUCCAGAAUGUUGGAAAGCCCCAAAUGGAAGUCUCUGCUUUGGUUACAGGACAUAAGGUUUAAUAAAUAAAAAGAUGCUCAUCUGGGAUGCUGCACCAAUUAUCAUGUACUAAAUAAGGUUACCUACUUCACUCUCCAGGUAGAAAUGUCUAUCAUAAGCAUGUGCCACAGAAGGUCUCUCAAGUAUCAUUAUUGGCUGUGUUGAAUUUUGUUUUUAGUUCUCUUUUAUAAGGUCUGUAGUCUUACUUUCAGUGAGGAAGUGUUUUCUCAGGUUCUCAAGAAAGUAACAAAAUGCCAGCAUUGUCAAGGUCACCAUUGCCACUGAAUUAUCUUACUGUCUGAUUAUUCCAUCUUCCUCUGCAUCAUAUUAGCCUGAUGACUACAUUCUAAUUAUUUAAAGCGUUAUGUAAAUCAAAGCAGUAAAUGUAAUUUCUAGUCUUACUAGAUAUCAUGUACAUUAGGUCGAAUAACUCUAGAAAUGUCGUCAUAAUCAUGUCAUGCCUAAUGAUGACCUACUCAGCCCCUGCCAACAUCAUUCAAUUACUCAUUUCAGUAUUGAUUUUUCUCAUGCCUCUCUUCGUGGCAUUUAAACAGCCCUCACAUCUCCCCUUUUACUGAGGUGUAAUGUUGUAUAAUGACAGAGAUGCUUUGCUUCCCAGAUUCAUAAUGUUACACUCUGUUUCAAAUCCUUUUGGAGACAAAUUGGGGAAUCAAUAUAUAAAUAAUGACACACUUAUUUUUAAUUAAAAUCACUGCUUUCACAGAAAUGGUAUAUUAAAAUUAUUUUUGCUAAAAAAAUUUUAAAUACCUAUGUACGAUAAAAAGACUGCCAAUCCUUGGGAUCAAGAAUAUAAUUUGCCCCAAAUAACUUUUCUGUAAAAGUAGAAUUCUUAAUGGAAAAUAGAUUAAUACAUAUAAUUUCAAGAUCUAACCUUAAAAAUGGAAAUAAUGUGUCCAUUUUUAAAAAUAAAUCAUAUUUACAUA
Molecule: long non-coding RNA, 1383 nt
Filed under: Homo sapiens (human)
Lineage: Eukaryota; Metazoa; Chordata; Mammalia; Primates; Hominidae
Description: PREDICTED lncRNA (TCONS_00255942)
Source: RNAcentral